Molecule: transfer RNA, 54 nt
Filed under: Cylicocyclus radiatus
Lineage: Eukaryota; Metazoa; Nematoda; Chromadorea; Rhabditida; Strongylidae
Description: tRNA-Cys
Source: RNAcentral
AAACUUUUAGUAUAUGUAGUAUUUUUAAUUGCAAAUUAAAAGGUUAAAAGUUUU